UACGUAGGGUGCGAGCGUUGUCCGGAAUUACUGGGCGUAAAGAGCUCGUAGGUGGUUUGUCGCGUUGUCCGUGAAAACUCACAACUCAAUUGUGGGCGUGCGGGCGAUACGGGCAGACUGGAGUACUGCAGGGGAGACUGGAAUUCCUGGUGUAGCGGUGGAAUGCGCAGAUAUCAGGAGGAACACCGGUGGCGAAGGCGGGAUCCUGGGCCAGUACUGACGCUGAGGAGCGAAAGCGUGGGGAGCAAACAGG
Molecule: ribosomal RNA, 253 nt
Filed under: uncultured bacterium
Lineage: Bacteria
Description: partial 16S ribosomal RNA
Rfam family: Bacterial small subunit ribosomal RNA
Source: RNAcentral